This is a long non-coding RNA of Chenopodium quinoa (quinoa), 2757 nucleotides long. RefSeq lists it as uncharacterized. The transcript is spliced from 12 exons. Lineage: Eukaryota; Viridiplantae; Streptophyta; Magnoliopsida; Caryophyllales; Amaranthaceae. The record is from RefSeq and is a predicted model, not a curated record.
UCCUCCCUCUUUAUCCCUAUCCCUCAAAUUGCUCCACUUUCCCUUUCAUUUUGUUCUCUCACUCUCUGCUGAUGUCCUCCUAUUUCAUUUUCUCUCUCUUCAGAUUCUCCUAUUUUCCAACUUUAUUUUGCUCAAUUUCUAUACAUAUCAAUGCUUUUCUUAUCAAUUUUUUUUUUUGGUGUAGGAAUUGAGCUUAAAGUUUGCAUCUUGGAUGGAGUGGUUGUGGUUAUCUACUGGUGCUCUUUCUAAAUUGUGCUCGAUCUUCUCGAUCAUCUCUGGCAAGUUAAUUUAGAUAUUGAACAAGAGAGCGGUUGAGGCUUCAGAUGAGCAGCGUCUAAUGCCUGACAUCAGGACUGGAGACAUUGUGCAAAUCAAAUUGUUUGGUUUAGUAGUGGAUGUGGUUCCUCUAUUUUGCUGAUGUUGAUGGUAAUGGAACAUCAUCACAGCCGCAAUGCAUAUGAAUGGAAUGGAGGAGGAGUGGAGGAUCAUCUGUACAAGGGCUUUGAAUAUUUUGACCAAGACAAGAGAUGUUAGAAUUAACUAUGAGGAAUUCGUAGCUAUGAUGAAGAAAGGCAACCCUGAUUUGUCUUAAACAGACGGAGGAGAUGAUUCAUAGGACAGUAACUUUAUGAAGACUAUCGUGUAAAUCUUUUCUACACCAGCCUGGAUCGAUUGCAGGGAUUUUGUCAAUAUCCGAUGCCUUGAAAUAGAGUGGAUCAAAAAGAAAGACACGCUCAAAGAACGUGCUCAGUCUGUAAGAAUUGAAAAGAGGAAAGAGCCUUAGCCAAGUAGGGGAGAAGUUUUUUUUUUUUCCCUGCAUUUUUAAAUGUAGUCUGCUGGGCUAGCUUGACAAGCUAAAGUGGGAGAAAAACCAUCUCUCGAAAGGGGAAUCAUCAGCUAAGAGAAUGGAUAUUGUGUGGGGAGAAACAGCUGGAGAGCAUGGCUGGCUUUGGUUGCUUUGCUAUAUACUAUUCAAUUUGCAGGUUUUGGAGGUUAUUUUCUUUUCUGGCUGAGGGGUGAUCGUGAAGAGGAGCUAGGGAUGGGAAGAUAGCGGAACAAUUAGUCAGUAUCUAAUAACUGUCACAAGUGACUAUUACAAUGUUAUGGCCGGAGAAGUGAAGUAUGAAGGAAUCUAUGAUAAUGACCGCCCAACUCUCCGCCAGGUCGAUCCAAGAGGUCCGUGGACAAGGAUCAAUUGCAAUACACUGAGAUCCUUAGGAUGCGUGAUCUUCCUUUCUCUGUAACCAGCGUAGACCUACUGAAAUUCUUUGGGGAUUUUAAGUUGGGCAGAGGAUAAAAUCCACGUAGAAAGCCAAACAAAUGGGAAGGCUAUUGUAGAGGCAUAUGUUAAAUGUUUUUCAGGAAUAUAGGUAUCGAAAAGCUCAAACUCCUCCCUCAUUUCGAUCACAAGAUCGAAGAUGGGCUUCCAUGGCAGAAGCUCAUGGGUCUUCUCUCAGUCUCUCUCCUCUACGUUCUUCUCCUCUUCUCUCAAUUUCAUACCUUUUACCCUCAUGGUGUUGCUCCUCGAGAUUUCCAACUGGGGUUCACAAAUGGCUACUAAGCUAGAAAACAAUGCUAUUCCAAACUCUACAUUUUCCUCUCGAUCUCCCUUUUGGUCAAGUUCAUGCAUCUGUUGAUUCUGAAAUUGAUCCAAACUCUUACUUGCUUGAGAAGUUCAAGCUUUAUGAAACUCAAGCGAGGUUUUAUCUUAUCGGAAUACGGAAGUGCUCCAAAUAUUGAAAAUUGACCGAUGCGAGCCAUCAGAAUUGAACAUCAGUGAAGAUCUAGUGGUAAUAUUCACCACAGGAGGUGAAGAACCUGUUGCAGCAAAUUGCAGAGGGGCAUCAGGCUUCUGAAGGGUUGAAUUUUGUUGCUUAUUCCAAGACAGUUUGAGAAACUAUGUUGUCCAGUACAGUUUGUCUCUCAGUCUAAAGGGAACUAUGUGCAUCUCUGCAUGCAGAAAUUCAGCAGCCAUGUGGUUGAAACUUCGAGCAUUUUUCAACCAGUGUACGAGGAUAGUCACCAAUUCAAGGUCUGCUUCUAAUAACAUCCAAGAGUUUACAGGGUUAGUCACCAAGUAUUCUCAUCCUCUUAAGUGUGGGUGUGCAGCGCACUGGGCUAGGGAUUGCCCGUCGAGUGGUGGUGGAAGGUAUCCUUCACAAUCUGAAUUUGGUAGAUUUGGUCUGCAGGGAGAUCGUGAUUAUGACUGCUGGGGGGUGCUAUGGCAGUAGAGAUUGUUUGGAGAACAGAAAUGGGUAUCCGCCUGCUAGUGAUCAUUCUGGAAGCGAUAGAUAUAUGGAUCGAUGCCCCUUAAAUAUGGCCGGGAUAGAGAUAUGGAGGCGUUAAGAGGUGGUGAUAAGUAUGCUGCUAGUGGACGAACUCCCUAUGACAGAGAAAGCUUUAGAUACCAGGCUCACCCUUAUGAUGCUCUGGGAGAAGCAAACAGAGUUGAUAUCGCUGUUGGUUUUGCUCCUCUAAUGUUGUGCAAACUGUUGUUUUCUAAGUAGAUGCAGAAAUGUUGGAUAUCGUCUCCUUUGCGUGUUCGUAUUCUGUCCAGACAAGUAGUGUGCCCAGAAAAAAUUUAAGAGUAUGGAUAACUGUGGUGACCUUAUUAGUUGACCUGUAGGAGUAUUUAUUGGGAGGAAAUUAUUUGAAUAUAUGGACUAUUAUACUCCGUAUGUAUGUUUUAGUUGAAUGUAAGGAUGGACAAGAUGCACAUAGAUCAAUUUGAUUUCUUUUGACGGGCAUUGAUUAUUA